GACGCACGCUGGCGGCGUGCUUAACACAUGCAAGUCGAACGAAGUGGCGAACGGGUGAGUAAUACGUGAGUAACCUGCCCUCCUUUUUGGGAUAAGCCUUGGAAACGGGGUCUAAUACCGAAUAACGUGGGAUGGGCUCUCGGCCUAUCAGCUUGUUGUUUGGGGGAUGGCCUCCCAAGGCGGUGACGGGUAGCCGGCCUGGGAGGGUGACCGGCCACAUGGGGAAUGAGAUACGGGCCAGAGUGCUACGGGAGGCAGCAGGGGGGGAGAUUGCACAAUGGUCGAAAGCCUGAUGCAGGGGCGCGGCGGGGGGGAUGAAGGCUUUCGGGUUGAAAACGUCUUUCGCGAUCGAACGGGUAGGUUUAGAAGAAGCGCCGGCUAACUACGUGCCAGCAGCCGCGGUAAUUC
Molecule: ribosomal RNA, 408 nt
Filed under: uncultured bacterium
Lineage: Bacteria
Description: partial 16S ribosomal RNA
Rfam family: Bacterial small subunit ribosomal RNA
Source: RNAcentral